RNAcentral lists this ribosomal RNA (465 nucleotides) under uncultured bacterium. Its description in RNAcentral is "partial 16S ribosomal RNA". It matches the Rfam family "Bacterial small subunit ribosomal RNA", at positions 28 to 507 of the family's 1533-position model. The record is from RNAcentral.
GACGAACGCUGGCGGCGUGCUUAACACAUGCAAGUCGUACGGUAAGGCCCUUUCGGGGGUACACGAGUGGCGAACGGGUGAGUAACACGUGAGUAACCUGCCCACAACUUUGGGAUAACGCUAGGAAACUGGUGCUAAUACUGGAUAUGUGCUCCUGCUGCAUGGGGGGGGUUGGAAAGCUCCGGCGGUUGUGGAUGGACUCGCGGCCUAUCAGCUUGUUGGUGGGGUAGUGGCCUACCGAGGCGGCGACGGGUAGCCGGCCUGAGAGGGUGACCGGCCACAUUGGGUCUGAGAUACGGCCCAGACACCUACGGGAGGCAGCAGUGGGGAAUAUUGAACAAUGGGCGCAAGCCUGAUGCAGAAGCGCCGCGUGCGGGAUGACGGCCUUCGGGUUGUAAACCGAUUUCAGCAGGGACGAAGCUUUUUGUGACGGUACCUGCAGAAGAAGCACCGGCUAACUACGUG